UUCGCCGCACUAAUGGCUUCCAUGCAUAUAGCCGGCGUCCUGUUAUUGCAUAUUUUCUUGUUUUUCAUUUCAGAAACGUAUGGGGCGAGAAAUGUGGCUAUCAAUAACAAUACGCAAGAAUGCGACAGAACGAAGAAAGAGUGCAAUUAUCCACCUGAUUGCAACUGUUAUUGGCAAUUAUCGCUCGGAGAGGAAUAUAACAACUACUAUCACUUUAACCCAGAGGAUAAUACCUGUGCAGAAAAAGGGGAGCAAAACAAUUGCAACAGAUUUACUUCACGUGAGGACUGCGAGAGCAACUGCGUACAAAACGUGCCUCCUGCCCGCCUGUGAUCAAGAAUCACCGAAUAUUAUAUGCAGUCACUAAUAAAUGCAGAGCAGAACAAAA
This 388-nucleotide long non-coding RNA is filed under the name Dermacentor andersoni. RNAcentral's name for it is "uncharacterized LOC126546029". Lineage: Eukaryota; Metazoa; Arthropoda; Arachnida; Ixodida; Ixodidae. The record is from RNAcentral.